GAGGGCACGUCUGUCUGGGCGUCA
RNAcentral lists this ribosomal RNA (24 nucleotides) under Rheum rhabarbarum (garden rhubarb). Its description in RNAcentral is "partial 5.8S ribosomal RNA". RNAcentral also lists the same sequence under 4 other names. The record is from RNAcentral. Lineage: Eukaryota; Viridiplantae; Streptophyta; Magnoliopsida; Caryophyllales; Polygonaceae.